AAGCAAUCCACAGAUUAAGUUAUCAAGGAAUGGCCAAUGUACCCUGUGUUGUGCUUACUACAGAUAUAUGGACCUCCAGGGCUACAGAGAGGUACUUAAUUAACAUACUUCUUCUGCUCAGUGUAGGCCUACAACACAAGAAGACUAGAACAGUGCUAAAUGGUGUAUAUAAUGAAGUGCUGCUCAUGGGUCCUUCACCACUCUGCCAGAGAGUCAGCUCUUUCAUACAGAGAACUCAGAGCGUCUGAACCCCACUGGAGGGCAGUAUUUAUCCACCAGGAGAUUGCAGUAGCACCUCACCUCACACUGAGGCUCUCUAAUGGCACAGAGCGGCUCCCACAACGUCACAGACACAGAGGGAUAGAGGUCUCCAUCAUCUUUGGGUGUCUGGAGAAGUUGGACUGGAGUGUGAACCCGCUGGGUGACGGACCCUGUCCUGCCUGCUGUCAGCCUGCCCCCUAAUGACCAGCUUCUCCCUGCUGGCCUGCAUCUUCAAACUCUGCUGCUUGUAGCUACACAGCCUCCUACGGGCCAGCGCCUUCGCAGGAAUAAAGCAGCACCGCCUCUUACUGGCCAGCACACUGGCAGGUAAACAGGUUCAUUGAUACGCUUUUUACAUUGAUAUGACACAUAUUAUUAGCAUUAGAAUUAGAACAUUUAU
Molecule: long non-coding RNA, 661 nt
Filed under: Oncorhynchus kisutch (coho salmon)
Lineage: Eukaryota; Metazoa; Chordata; Actinopteri; Salmoniformes; Salmonidae
Description: lncRNA (ENSOKIG00005002754.1)
Source: RNAcentral